AUUGAACGCUGGCGGCAUGCCUUACACAUGCAAGUCGAACGGUAACGGGCCUUCGGGUGCCGACGAGUGGCGAACGGGUGAGUAAUACAUCGGAACGUGCCCGAUCGUGGGGGAUAACGAGGCGAAAGCUUUGCUAAUACCGCAUACGAUCUACGGAUGAAAGCAGGGGACCGCAAGGCCUUGCGCGGACGGAGCGGCCGAUGGCAGAUUAGGUAGUUGGUGGGAUAAAAGCUUACCAAGCCGACGAUCUGUAGCUGGCCUGAGAGGAUGAUCAGCCACACUGGGACUGAGACACGGCCCAGACUCCUACGGGAGGCAGCAGUGGGGAAUUUUGGACAAUGGGCGUAAGCCUGAUCCAGCCAUGCCGCGUGCAGGAUGAAGGCCUUCGGGUUGUAAACUGCUUUUGUACGGAACGAAAAGCCUUCUUUUAAUACAGGAGGGUCAUGACGGUACCGUAAGAAUAAGCACCGGCUAACUACGUG
RNAcentral lists this ribosomal RNA (482 nucleotides) under uncultured bacterium. Its description in RNAcentral is "partial 16S ribosomal RNA". It matches the Rfam family "Bacterial small subunit ribosomal RNA", at positions 30 to 507 of the family's 1533-position model. The record is from RNAcentral.